GAUGAACGCUGGCGGCGUGCCUAAUACAUGCAAGUCGAGCGAACGGACGAGAAGCUUGCUUCUCUGAUGUUAGCGGCGGACGGGUGAGUAACACGUGGAUAACCUACCUAUAAGACUGGGAUAACUUCGGGAAAGCGGAGAUAAUACCGGAGGAUAUUUUGAACCGCAUGGUUGAAAGGUGAAAUACGGUGGUGCGGGCACUUAUAGAUGGAUCCGCGCUGCAUGAGCUGGUUGGUAAGGUAACAGCUUACCAAGGCAACGAGGCAUAGCCGACGUGAGAGGGUGGUCGGCCACAUGGGAACUGAGACGCGGUCAAGACUCCUACGGGACGCAGCAGUAGCGAACGUUAGGCAACAGGCGAGAGCCUGACGCAGCAACGCCGAGUGAGUGAUGACGGUCUUCGGAUCGUAAAACCCUGUUAUUAGGGAAGAACAUCUGUCUCAGUAAAUGUGCCCAUCUUGACGGUACCUAAUAAGAAAGCAACGGCUAACUACGUG
This 497-nucleotide ribosomal RNA is filed under the name uncultured bacterium. RNAcentral describes it as "partial 16S ribosomal RNA". It matches the Rfam family "Bacterial small subunit ribosomal RNA", at positions 28 to 507 of the family's 1533-position model. The record is from RNAcentral.